RNAcentral lists this ribosomal RNA (207 nucleotides) under uncultured bacterium. RNAcentral's name for it is "partial 16S ribosomal RNA". It matches the Rfam family "Bacterial small subunit ribosomal RNA", at positions 568 to 774 of the family's 1533-position model. The record is from RNAcentral.
UGCGCAGGCGGCCUGCUAAGUCGGAUGUGAAAGCCCCGGGCUUAACCUGGGAAUUGCAUUCGAUACUGGCAGGCUAGAGUCUGGUAGAGGUAAGCGGAAUUCCGGGUGUAGCGGUGAAAUGCGUAGAUAUCCGGAGGAACAUCAGUGGCGAAGGCGGCUUACUGGACCAAGACUGACCCUCAGGCACGAAAGCGUGGGUAGCAAACA